Molecule: long non-coding RNA, 245 nt
Filed under: Musa acuminata (dwarf banana)
Lineage: Eukaryota; Viridiplantae; Streptophyta; Magnoliopsida; Zingiberales; Musaceae
Description: long non-coding RNA (MACU_LNC008817)
Source: RNAcentral
AUAAUUCAAAAGAUUUCAGCUUAGUACCAAACCGUUCUUUCCUUUUGAUACAAAGCCAAGAAUCUGAAAUUUUUUCGGUAAUCUGACUUCUAUACAUUGUUUUGGAUCUAACUUUUAGCACUAAACUCUGAUUUAGGCAAAACCUAAUCCAUUUGAAAGUAGACUCAAAUAUCUUUAUUUUUACACUAAGAUUGAAUGAUUUGGAGUUUAAAUGCCUACUAAGACUUCUGUUUCAAUUAACCCUA